This 798-nucleotide long non-coding RNA is filed under the name Capsella grandiflora. Its description in RNAcentral is "long non-coding RNA (CGRA_LNC000198)". Lineage: Eukaryota; Viridiplantae; Streptophyta; Magnoliopsida; Brassicales; Brassicaceae. The record is from RNAcentral.
ACUAGUCCGAAUUGGUAGUCGAAACACUCAAAAUGGUCGAAACAAAUGUCAAAGUACGAAACUGUCGAACAAAUAGAAUAAAAAGGUAUAAUGUUCACUCGAAACUCAAAAAGACAACUGCAAAAACAAACACAUACUGUAAAAAAAAGUGCAAACUUGAAACACUCGUAAAAAAGAAAAACGGCAACCCGACCCGAGCGACUCAAACUUUCUUUCCCAGCUUUGACGACGAUGACUCAUCAAAGAACAAGAGUUAAAAGAGUUUUGAUCAAAUAAAUGAUAUGGAAAGAUGAUUUUAUGUUUCUUGAGCUGUAUGAAACAAAGGCCUCCAAUGCUUCCAAGUCCCUCGGUUCCGCUGAUUCGACCAAAACCGAACCGAUUGGCUGUGGAAAUGCGCCGGAAAACAUCAAUCAGCUAAACCGACAUCUUCGGACGGCAGUGUUGGCGACCGAGAUGCCUCGACGACCACACUUAGAUAGGUCUAGUCAACAUAUCGCUUAAUUUUUUGUCAAAAAUCGCUUAAAAUCUUCUUUUUCCUUGGUUGUUAAUUUGUUUUUAUUCUUUAAAAAAAAAAUUGCUUAAAGUUUAUUUCAUUUAUUUGAAAAUUACACAUAAUUGACAAUUUCAGAAAAGCAUAGAUUAACAUUUUAAUAUUUACCAUCCUUGACCUGUUUUUCUAAUUCCUUUUUUGUAAAUAAUGGCCUUGAGUCAUUUGUUGCAUCAAUGUUUGGAAAAAUAUUGCAAGUAGUAGUUUAAAUUUCUUUCUUAGAAAAGUAGAAGUAGUAGUAGUACUAUUUG